UACGUAGGGUGCAGGCGUUAAUCGGAAUUACUGGGCGUAAAGGGUUUGUAGGUGGCCACUUAAGUCAGACGUGAAAUCCCUCAGCUUAACUGGGGAACUGCGUCUGAUACUGAGUGGCUUGAGUGCAGGAGAGGAACGCGGAAUUCCAGGUGUAGCGGUGAAAUGCGUAGAUAUCUGGAGGAACACCGGUGGCGAAGGCGGCGUUCUGGACUGUAACUGACACUGAAAAACGAAAGCCAGGGGAGCAAACGGG
RNAcentral lists this ribosomal RNA (253 nucleotides) under uncultured bacterium. RNAcentral describes it as "partial 16S ribosomal RNA". It matches the Rfam family "Bacterial small subunit ribosomal RNA", at positions 524 to 776 of the family's 1533-position model. The record is from RNAcentral.